Molecule: ribosomal RNA, 552 nt
Filed under: uncultured bacterium
Lineage: Bacteria
Description: partial 16S ribosomal RNA
Rfam family: Bacterial small subunit ribosomal RNA
Source: RNAcentral
AGGGAAUCUUCCACAAUGGACGCAAGUCUGAUGGAGCAACGCCGCGUGAGUGAAGAAGGUCUUCGGAUCGUAAAGCUCUGUUGUUGGUGAAGAAGGAUAGAGGCAGUAACUGGUCUUUAUUUGACGGUAAUCAACCAGAAAGUCACGGCUAACUACGUGCCAGCAGCCGCGGUAAUACGUAGGUGGCAAGCGUUGUCCGGAUUUAUUGGGCGUAAAGCGAGCGCAGGCGGAAUGAUAAGUCUGAUGUGAAAGCCCACGGCUCAACCGUGGAACUGCAUCGGAAACUGUCAUUCUUGAGUGCAGAAGAGGAGAGUGGAACUCCAUGUGUAGCGGUGGAAUGCGUAGAUAUAUGGAAGAACACCAGUGGCGAAGGCGGCUCUCUGGUCUGCAACUGACGCUGAGGCUCGAAAGCAUGGGUAGCGAACAGGAUUAGAUACCCUGGUAGUCCAUGCCGUAAACGAUGAGCGCUAGGUGUUGGGGACUUUCCGGUCCUCAGUGCCGCAGCAAACGCAUUAAGCGCUCCGCCUGGGGAGUACGACCGCAAGUUGAAAC